Peromyscus maniculatus bairdii (prairie deer mouse) is the source of this 1883-nucleotide non-coding RNA. The record is from RefSeq and is a predicted model, not a curated record. NCBI's taxonomy places the organism in Eukaryota, Metazoa, Chordata, Mammalia, Rodentia, Cricetidae.
CCGGAAGGGCCUUGGCAAGCUGUGUGUGGAGUAGGAAGAGAAACAGAAGCUCCUUCAGACAAAGCAUGACCUUGUCUUCCAAGACAGCCUCUCCUGCCUUCCUCUGCCCUCUGGCAAGUGUCCUGAAGCUCACAGCAUCCCUUGCCAAUCACUGCCCCUGUCUUAUAAAGCCACAUCUUGAGCAACUGCUGCCUCAGCAGAGUGAAGCAACACAGCUAAGCAGACUGGACCGUUCUGCAGCGUUAGAAUGUGAUUUGGAACUGAAGAGCGGGGUGGUCCUUCCGCAGAAGAAGAGUAUGGGAGGCUGCUGCAAGCAGCCCAGGGGACAGGGAGGUGGCUGCGGGCUCCAGGCUCCCGUUUUCUUUCCAUGUGUCAUGUGGAUGCUGUACUACUCCAAUCAAGGAAACCUUGAAAGAAUGUUCACAGACACUCUUUGGAACAAGCUGCACACCUGUUCGCCCUGUCUCUAGUCCACCACUGCUGCCUGCACAGAAGAGCACAGUCUCUGGUCAACAAUGAUUCACCUCUUCACAGCAGUGCGCCCUGCAUGUCCUACAUGUGAUUCCAGGGGAUGGAUGUAGCCUGGGGUGACAGGGAUGUUCACCCUGUUCCAAUAAGAUUACUCAGCUCAAAUCCAUUCAAAGAUGGAUUUACUGGCCCUUGGGAGAGGUGGGGAGUACUGUGAGAAGGCCACCAACAUGGAGGAGAAAGGUCCAGAGGUGAAGCUCAGGCGUCCGCCCAGUCUCUGUCUCAUGACCGAGGUCCUCAUGUACUGGCUCCACAGAGACUCGUCACGUGGAGCAAUAGAAACACUAAGAUACUGGAUGACCUUCACAGGCAUGUGUACACGCACCCAUACUCCAUGGAACAGUGCCACAGGCUCACUGGAUUCCUUGUACAAGCACCAUGUGAGACCUGCCAGUCCACGGAAUAAUGGAUGUUCAGUGGCUACAGCCAUUCACAAACAAAGGCAGUUGGCCAAGGCUAUUUGAAACUCAUUUUAAGAUCUUUCUCUAUUCAAACUGGCACCCUAACAUUAUUUGUAUCUCAGUCUUUACCUCCAGUACAUGUGAUCAACAAAGAAGUAUGUUUUUCCACUCUCUUCCUCACAGACAGCAGCAUCAAUAUGUGUCACGUAGCUAGGGAAGCCAAAGUAGCUGUGGAUGUCCACGGGGUAUCCGCUCAAUACACUCCUUGUACGAACAGCCCACAUCCUAUUGCCUGCCAAUCAAAAGCCACAGAUGAACCUCCUUGUCCACAUUUCCAGCCAGGCUUCAAAGGCUAGAGCAGUAUCGUAGCUACAAACUGCAACUGUCCAGGGAAGGCGGUGGUGCCUUGUUUUGUGUUAAAUGCUGAUAUUGGGAUCCAAUUUCAAACUGAUUGAAUGAAUUUGCCUUUUGUUUGUUUGAUUGAUUUUUGUGUUUUUGAGAGAGUCUCACACUGUAAGCCAGUCUGGUCUGGAGUUCACUAUGUAAGCAGGCUUGGCCUCCAGUUUGCAGCCACCUUCCUACCUUGCCCUCUUAAAUGCUGGGCUUAGAGGUGUGAGCCGCCAAGCCUGGUUUAUAUAGUUUUUUUUUCUAGGCCAUUCUAUUCUGUAACAAGCUUUGAGAAUUAUCUUUUUUUUUUUCCUAUUGCAGUUGAAGCUCCUUUCCAAAGCCAGAUACUCAAACAACUAGAAGUUCUAGGCUACCUCCGUGGUAACGAAGUUCAACAGCAUCUUAAAAGAUAGUUAGGUAAAUGUAUGCAGAUUCAAGAAUCUGUGUGCAGUUCCCAAGCUCUGUACCACAGGAAAUGAUCUUUUCUGAAGGCAAGAUCACUCUUGUUCACAAACAUGCUUAUUUUAGCUCACACGAAAUGGUGCUUUAAAGCGCUGCACAUGUAAA